CGACAGACCAGGGAAAUCAAACAGUUGAGGUGCCAUCUUGAAAUUUAAUCAAGUUUCGCGUGUUUCUUGAUUCGCGGAGAAAAUUUUAAAAAAGCAAAUUGCUUGUACAAAAAAGUAUACCUAAUAAAAUAUGUAUAAGCACGUAUUUGCCAAAAUAUGUGGGGCUGUAAAAACGCUUAUUUCUUUCAACUGAGGCCGGAGUGGCCGGUCAACAAGUCUUCAUUCCGUUCGGCUUGUCCAUUGCUGCUCGUCGUCAACCACGUAUAGUCUACGGAGGGUCUGCAAAUAAUCUUCCAUCUGAUCGAUCCAACUUGCUGCGCACCUAUUAUUUUCUUAUCCGUCCGUCGUCACUAUUAGCCGUGCGGUUCCGAAUUGUGGAACAACUACAAAAAGCAUCGCUCAGGGAGUAAGUAGCACCGUUUGUUCAACUGCAAGAGAUAGAGCUAACAAGUCUUCAAGCUUAUGUCGACCCCGGAUUUUUUUUGGAAUCAUGAGAAACAACUACGAUUAGCUCCUAGAUUUGCAUUACCGUAACUGCUUCUGAUGAUACAAGGAUGGAGCUUCAUUCCCGGUGGAACUGAAAAGUUUUUACUGCAUCAAGGAGUCAUGUAUUGGGGCAGCACAAAUGUCUGGACACCGAAUGUCUAAUCCGAAUCUACGGACUGAAUAAGUGCGUCCGUGUCCGUGAAGGUCACUGAAUUCAACUAAAGGUAUAACCUCAAGCAUCAUUGAUGGAUCGAUCAGGUGGAAGGCGGACGGAUUUACGGACCAUUCAUAGACUGAUUGGAUGGUGCUUACAGCCAUGGACCGCGUUGAAUGGAUACGACUGUUAUAUACUGUAGAGGACACUCCGGCAUUAGGCUGGAUGAAAAAAAUAAUGCUGCCAUGCCACUAAUGGACCCCUCUCUGUGUGGAAAGGAGACCGUUGAUGUAGCAAAACCAUCAAGUUCACAACGCCAGUUCCAAUUUUAAUUAAUUAUGUUUUUUCAAUUUUUUUUAAUAAAUAUAUAUUUACAAUAAAAUUAAA
Long non-coding RNA from Armigeres subalbatus, 1027 nucleotides. RefSeq lists it as uncharacterized. The transcript has 4 exons. The record is from RefSeq and is a predicted model, not a curated record. Lineage: Eukaryota; Metazoa; Arthropoda; Insecta; Diptera; Culicidae.